UACGUAGGGUGCGAGCGUUAAUCGGAAUUACUGGGCGUAAAGGGUGCGUAGGCGGUCCGAUAAGUCAUACGUGAAAUCCCUCAGCUUAACUGGGGAACUGCGUGUGAUACUGGAUGGCUUGGAUUUGGGAGAGGGAUGCGGAAUUCCAGGUGUAGCGGUGAAAUGCGUAGAUAUCUGGAGGAACACCGGUGGCGAAGGCGGCAUCCUGGACCAAUAUUGACGCUGAGGAGCGAAAGCCAGGGGAGCAAACGGG
This 253-nucleotide ribosomal RNA is filed under the name uncultured bacterium. Its description in RNAcentral is "partial 16S ribosomal RNA". It matches the Rfam family "Bacterial small subunit ribosomal RNA", at positions 524 to 776 of the family's 1533-position model. The record is from RNAcentral.